CUUUCUCCAAGGAAUCGAAAACUGCAGAUAUGUCUUCAAGCAAGAUGGUAGAGUGCAGGAUAUGCCAUGAUGAAGAUUUGGAUUCAAGUAUGGAGACUCCUUGCUCUUGCCGUGGUACCUUGAAGUACGCACAUAGGGUAUGUGUGCAAAGGUGGUGCAAUGAGAAAGGUGACACUGUGUGUGAGAUUUGCCACCAGCCUUUCAAGCCUGAUUAUACAACACCUCCCCGUGUUCAUCGCUAUGGGAGCUUAAGG
Ipomoea nil (Japanese morning glory) is the source of this 254-nucleotide long non-coding RNA. RefSeq lists it as uncharacterized. NCBI's taxonomy places the organism in Eukaryota, Viridiplantae, Streptophyta, Magnoliopsida, Solanales, Convolvulaceae. The transcript is spliced from 3 exons. The record is from RefSeq and is a predicted model, not a curated record.